Long non-coding RNA from Hyalella azteca, 221 nucleotides. RefSeq lists it as uncharacterized. The transcript has 3 exons. The record is from RefSeq and is a predicted model, not a curated record. Lineage: Eukaryota; Metazoa; Arthropoda; Malacostraca; Amphipoda; Hyalellidae.
UGGUUCUGUUGCAACCACUGCAGGUGCUGGAGCUGUCGCUGCCACUGUUGAGUGCGAGGUCCGCCGUCACACCGAAGCUUUGAUCCUAGCGCUGCUGGGGCCGCUGCCCCCCCUCACCCCUGCACCCCCGCCCCUCUUCCUACACCUUCCUGAGGCGCGGGCGCUACACGCGCAGCUCGCGCGGAGCAUCAGCGCCUUCACAGCAUCGCUGCGCGCAGCCC